Long non-coding RNA from Homo sapiens (human), 398 nucleotides. RefSeq lists it as uncharacterized. The transcript has 2 exons. Lineage: Eukaryota; Metazoa; Chordata; Mammalia; Primates; Hominidae. The record is from RefSeq and is a predicted model, not a curated record.
GAGUGAAACUCCAAGUGAAUAAAUGAAUUGUGAGUGCAUGAAAAGCCAGGGGAAGGGGCCUGAGCAUCUCCUUCAGGGGUACCUGCCAAGGCGGAGUCCUGGAACCCCUGCCCAGAACUGCUCGUGGAGGGCAUCUGCGUUAGUCCCCUGCUCCCCAGCGCUGCCAGCCCCUGCCUCAGAUCUCUUACCCAACCGCAUCGCUUCCACUUGGCAAGGUAGAUGGCCCAUGUACUGGGAGUACUACAUGGUAGGAUCCCUGGGAGGGUGCCCCUGGGUGUCCUCCUGGAUCUCUUUCUGGUGUGAAAUAGGGCGCUCUCUUGGCUUCUUCAGUUGAACACCUGUGUGACCAGCUCUGUCAUCAGAUAUGUUUUGUAAUUAAAGGCUACUCUGUCCUAAUA